This 528-nucleotide ribosomal RNA is filed under the name uncultured bacterium. Its description in RNAcentral is "bacterial SSU rRNA". It matches the Rfam family "Bacterial small subunit ribosomal RNA", at positions 981 to 1509 of the family's 1533-position model. The record is from RNAcentral.
UUGACAUCCAGAGAACUUAGCAGNGAUGCUUUGGUGCCUUCGGGAACUCUGAGACAGGUGCUGCAUGGCUGUCGUCAGCUCGUGUUGUGAAAUGUUGGGUUAAGUCCGCAACGAGCGCAACCCUUUAUCCUUUGUUGCCAGCGGUUCGGCCGGGAACUCAAAGGAGACUGCCGGUGAUAAACCGGAGGAAGGUGGGGAUGACGUCAAGUCAUCAUGGCCCUUACGGCCAGGGCUACACACGUGCUACAAUGGCGCAUACAAAGAGAAGCGACCUCGCGAGAGCAAGCGGACCUCAUAAAGUGCGUCGUAGUCCGGAUUGGAGUCUGCAACUCGACUCCAUGAAGUCGGAAUCGCUAGUAAUCGUAGAUCAGAAUGCUACGGUGAAUACGUUCCCGGGCCUUGUACACACCGCCCGUCACACCAUGGGAGUGGGUUGCAAAAGAAGUAGGUAACUUAACCUUCGGGAGGGCGCUUACCACUUUGUGAUUCAUGACUGGGGUGAAGUCGUAACAAGGUAGGCGUAGCGAG